This is a non-coding RNA of Acanthosepion pharaonis, 114 nucleotides long. Lineage: Eukaryota; Metazoa; Mollusca; Cephalopoda; Sepiida; Sepiidae. The record is from the annotation of a GenBank genome assembly.
UUACAGCCAUAUCACGUUGAAAAACCGAUUCUCGUACGAUCAGCGAAGUUAAGCAACGUAGAACCUGGUCGCUACCUCGAUCGGUUACCGCUUUUGAAUACCAGGUGCUGUAAG